GUGCCAUCAGCCGCGGUAAUACCGGCAGCCCAAGUGAUGGCCGCUGUUAUUGGGCCUAAAGCGUCCGUAGCUGGCCGCACGAGUCCGUCGGGAAAUCCACCCGCUCAACGGGCGGCCGUCCGGCGGAACCUGUGUGGCUUGGGACCGGGAGGCCUGAGGGGUACGAUCGGGGUAGGAGUGAAAUCCUGUAAUCCCGCUCGGACCGCCGAUGGGGAAACCACCUCAGGAGAACGGAUCCGACAGUGAGGGACGAAAGCCAGGGUCUCCAACCGGAUUAGAUACCUUGGUAGUCC
RNAcentral lists this ribosomal RNA (293 nucleotides) under uncultured bacterium. RNAcentral describes it as "partial 16S ribosomal RNA". It matches the Rfam family "Archaeal small subunit ribosomal RNA", at positions 455 to 747 of the family's 1478-position model. The record is from RNAcentral.